Molecule: long non-coding RNA, 221 nt
Filed under: Elaeis guineensis (African oil palm)
Lineage: Eukaryota; Viridiplantae; Streptophyta; Magnoliopsida; Arecales; Arecaceae
Description: long non-coding RNA (EGUI_LNC001796)
Source: RNAcentral
CUUGGGUGCACCUUAAUAGAGGAUUGGUUCUAAUUGGUAGGUUUCUCCCACAACAUAUGCCCCCCACUCUUGAGUUUGAAGUAGUCUUUGGGCUUCGAGCGAAAGGAGUAACAACCCUAGUAGUUGAACUGAUGACCCGAUUCCUUUUUGGAUGCAUCUGCAUUACUACUUUCAAGAAGAAUAUUCGGGGAUUAAUGAUGCAUCUUUUUGUGACUCAUACC